RNAcentral lists this long non-coding RNA (1281 nucleotides) under Calidris pugnax (ruff). RNAcentral describes it as "lncRNA (ENSCPUG00000007604.1)". The record is from RNAcentral. Lineage: Eukaryota; Metazoa; Chordata; Aves; Charadriiformes; Scolopacidae.
GCUCAGCCACAGCUCACCCUUCCGGACCUAUGGUGCCAACCGCUGCUCCAGGGAUCCUCCUGGUGCCACCAAAACCACUCAGUGCCACCAAAACCUCUCAGUGCCACCAACACAGUUGAGCACCCCCUGUGCCGGGGUGGUGUGUCACCAGUGUGCCCGUGGGGACACCUUCCCGGUGAGCUCAGCACUGGCUCACCCUUCUGGACCUACAGUGCCAACUGCUGUUCCAGGGAUCCUCCUGGUGCCACCAAAACCACUCAGUGCCACCAAAACCUCUCAGUGCCACCAACACAGUUGAGCACCCCCUGUGCCGGGGUGGUGUGUCACCAGUGUGCCCGUGGGGACACCUUCCCGGUGAGCUCAGCACUGGCUCACCCUUCUGGACCUACAGUGCCAACUGCUGUUCCAGGGAUCCUCCUGGUGCCACCAAAACCGCUCGGUGCCACCAACACGGUUGGGCACCCCCCGUGCCAGGACUGUGCGUCACUGGUGCACUUGCGGGGACACCUUCCCGGUGAGCUCAGCACCGGCUCACCCUUCCGGACCUACGGUGCCACCCGUUUGUCACCGGUGUGCCCAUGGGGACACCUUCCCGGUGAGCUCAGCACCGGCUCACCCUUCCGGACCUACGGUGCCAACCACUGCUCCAGGGAUCCUCCUGGUGCCACCAAAACCACUCGGUGCCACCCAAACCACUCGGUGCCACCAACGCCAUUGGAUACCCCCUGUGCCAGGACCCAGGACCGUGCGUCACUGGUGCACCUGCAGGGACACCCUCCUGGUGAGCUCAGCCACAGCUCACCCUUCCGGACCUAUGGUGCCAACCGCUGCUCCAGGGAUCCUCCUGGUGCCACCAAAACCACUCAGUGCCACCAAAACCUCUCAGUGCCACCAACACAGUUGAGCACCCCCUGUGCCGGGGUGGUGUGUCACCAGUGUGCCCGUGGGGACACCUUCCCGGUGAGCUCAGCACCGGCUCACCCUUCCGGACCUACGGUGCCAACCACUGCUCCAGGGAUCCUCCUGGUGCCACCAAAACCACUCGGUGCCACAAAAACCACUCGGUGCCACCCAAACCUCUCGGUGCCACCAACACGGUUGAGCACCCCCUGUGCCAGGACCGUGCGUCACCGGUGCACCCACGGGGACACCUUCCCGGUGAGCUCAGCACUGGCUCACCCUUCUGGACCUACAGUGCCAACUGCUGUUCCAGGGAUCCUCCUGGUGCCACCAAAACCACUCAGUGCCACCCAAACCUCUCAGUGCCACCAACACGGUUGA